This 3170-nucleotide long non-coding RNA is filed under the name Nicotiana benthamiana. Its description in RNAcentral is "long non-coding RNA (NBEN_LNC041290)". The record is from RNAcentral. Lineage: Eukaryota; Viridiplantae; Streptophyta; Magnoliopsida; Solanales; Solanaceae.
UUCCGAAACUAAAGAUGAAACAAAUCAGGUAAGCAUCUCUAACUCGAAAGACAUUCAUGCUAUAUCUAAAAAACAAUUGAUGACCAUGAUGAGUGAAAUGGAAUAAAUGAGUGCUAGAAAUGAUAAGUUAAUAAGCAACCUUUCAUGUGUCAAACUUGAUCUCAAAGAACUUGAAUUUGACAAAGCUAAUCUACAAAGAAAGGUCAAAGACCGUAAGAAGUAGGUUCUUGAGCUCACACUAAAAAUGAGAAGUCACAUGAUAUACAUGGUAAGGAAAAAAUGAGUGAUCUACAAGAUAAACUUGAAAAGGAAUUAAAAAGGACUAAAGGUAAUCAUUGUGAUGCUGAAUGUAGGAAUAAAGUCCUGCAGGAAAAUCUAGAAAAGAUUAAUUAUGAACAAUCUUGACUAAGAAAAUGGCAUAUGUCCUUAUACGCCUUGAAUUGGCUAAAUUAUAACUACAUCUCUAACAAAUCAGGAAUUAUCUACAGAAACCUGCUCCCAAGUUUGAUCCAAAGUAUGUAGAAAUUUCUGAUAACUAUUCAUUCAUUAUAGAAAGGUAGUACACUUUAGAGAUACUUGCCCUGCCUUAAUUCAUACUCAGUGUAAAAACACCUUUGGUCUUGAUAAAAACACCUUUCGUGGGAAGACACAUGUUGAAUUUCACAUAUAUUUUGAACUGCAAAUAUAAUUCCAUCAUGAUAACAAAGAUUUUGUACCAAUUGUUUCCCGUUUAAGAUCAAAGAUACAGAAAUCAAAGCUUGUGCCUAUAUCAUGAUUCCUAGCCCAACAACUUCAACCAAAGCCACACGACUCAAAAUUUUCUCAAAAUUUGAAUGUAAAGAUUUAAUCUAAUUCUUAUCCAAAAGACUAGCAUUAUUUCAAGUAAAUGACCUUGCUGAAAUGGAUUUGAGCCAUAUAACUAAUCCCAGAAUUUUGAAGAAGAAAACCCAUGCGUACUGAUUUUAUUCCAAAAAAAACCAACAUAAGCUAAACACCAAGAUGACUGCAAAUGAACUAUUGACCUGGAAAUGCAUCAAUUAAACAUUUAAGUGAAAUGAUUUCAAAUAGCACAACACAACCACUGGUAGGCGUCUCCAUUGAGAAUUUCCAAUCUUUCACCUGUGCUCGGUGUUUCAGCAAGUUCUGGCAGGGAUUAACACUAAAACACACACUGAUUUCAGCAGAAACCAACAACUAUUUACUACAUUAACGUUAGUAGUACCUUUGUACAAACACCAAACUCAAACUCAUUUAAACUAACCAGCAAAAGUUAAUAAUUUAGCUAUCAAUACAACCCAGAAUUUAAACUAAAUAGAUGAAAUCGAUUGUAACAAAACAACAAAUGACAUAAAUUGCAAGCUCAUUCAAAUAACUUCAUGUUCUUCCAUUUCUCAUGUCAAGAGGUUGAAGAAUACCUGGUUACAACAGCAAAACAAACAAAAAUGAGCUGGGAGCUAACAGUAAGCAGCAGCAGUAGUAAGCUCAAAUAAAAACGAAAGCCACAGCAGGAUCAGCUCGCAAAUUUACAAGCUAAACAUAUUUCUAACCCAGAGAAGUGUAUGGUAACCCAUAAUAACACGUUCAAAUGAUUGAUCCCUCCCCAGAACCUUGGGCCAGAUCUACAUACUCAAUCCCAAUCCAUUUCAAACCCAAAGCAAAAUAGAAACUGAUGCAGAUAAUGAAUCUUUAAGAUCCUAAAAUAUUAUUCAAUGGAACAGUUCUUCACUCAAGUUCUCAGCAACUUUGUUUUUGUAUUUUUUAUUUUUCCCCAUUCACUUCUCUAUGAAACAGUAAAUUCUGUGCAGUUUCUAUGCUAUCGAUUUUUCAGCUUCUUUUUAUUAGAAUGUCCCGCUGCCUUUCAAGGCAAGAAAACAUGCUUUUAUAGGCAAGGCAAGUAGGGCAGCCUUCAGAUUUUUAAUUUAUAUUAUCAGUCUCUACUUAUUUACAGCUUGGUCCCAUAAUUGUAACUUGCUCACCAAAUAAAUACUUUUAAAAAUUGAAAUAUGUACUUGUACCCCACUCUAGAAGCCUCUAGGAUACUCCUUUGGCUAUAAAAUUCCUAAAUUACCCUUCCCCUGUUUUAAAUUUACUAUUUUGAAAGAUUCUGCCAUUUUCUAUGCCUAAACUGCCCCUCUAACAGCCCCAAAAUUACAUCUCAUACUAACUCACCCAACCCCUUAACCCCUAGUUAAGAACAUGACUGCAAUUACCUAACAAAAGAACUUCUUGAUAUAACCAAUCCUAUUAGCCUGCAGAUUAACGUUAACUCUUGGAGAAAUUACUAGCUAAAAUUUAAAGCACCCUUAAGGAACUGAAAUUACCUAAAACGCUUGAGGACUGAAAUUUAGUCCACACUAAACUAAUUAGAAACUAAACUAAAUAACUAAGAAGAUUUAAUAAAAUGAAUCAAAAGAGGAGAUGAAGAGCAGUUAAUAUUCAGAAAAAUCAAAACUGAAAACAUAAAAUAAUCUAUACUAACGGAAAUAAAGCUUAGCUAAUAAUAAUUAUGAGACGACGAAAAGAGUAGAAUCAGAACUUUAUCAAUCAAACAUGAAACAAGGGAUAAGAAACCAAAAAAAAUUACCUAACUAAUCAUAUGAUUAUCCUUCAAAUUAAUUAUCAUAAGAGAAAUGAGAGGAACAAAUAAGCAAAGAAACUAAAAAUUUAAUAAGGGAAACUCACCCCGAACUCUGCCCGGAACAAACUUGCAACGGAGUCGACACUCCGUUAAUGUUAUAUGCUCAUUCAAACUAGAAUAACCAAAUAACAUUAAUAGGGAAGACGAUUCGACUUCAAAUCUUCAAAAUAAAUCCGAAAUUGGCGAACCAUAGCCCUUCCCAUUCGAUGAAUUUCAGAGAGUUUUGAGGGGUUUUAAGCACAUAUUUAUGGUGGAGGAGGUCCGACGAACCAUUGGUAGCAAAUUUGUAAAGUUCGGGGCAGAUUAGGGUUUUAGCCGAUUUUUAGAUUUGAAUUUACAGAAAUUUGGCUGGGUUUUGGAAGAAAGCAAUGGGGGGAAUGGAACGAGGGUGAGGAGAGGAGUAUAUUGUAGAGUUUUGGAGUCGAUUGGAGCUCCGCCAUCCGCCAUCGGCGGAGAAGAUUUCUGGCGGCGUCAAUGGUUGACUAACAAUGAAGGGGUUAGAUGAAGAAGAUGGUACGAGGAAGUGAGGUCU